UGACCCCAGGUCAGGCGGGACUACCCGCUGAGUUUAA
Molecule: ribosomal RNA, 37 nt
Filed under: Weddellina squamulosa
Lineage: Eukaryota; Viridiplantae; Streptophyta; Magnoliopsida; Malpighiales; Podostemaceae
Also listed under: 2 other names
Description: partial 26S ribosomal RNA
Source: RNAcentral